AAGGCAGGCAGAGAUGGCUACCUCGACGAGUAUGUCGGGGAGGAAAGUCCGGGCUCCAGAGGGCAGCGCGCUGGACAAUCUCCAGGCUUCCCUGAGACUUAUCUGGAAAGGAAGACGGAAAGUGCCACAGAAAAUAUACCGCCCCGAAGGUUGCUUCUUCAGAAAAAGCUACAUUCGGGGUAAGGGUGAAAAGGUGGUGUAAGAGACCACCGCUCUUGUGGUGACACAAGAGGCUCGGCAAACCCCGCGCGGAGCAAGACCAAAUAGGAGAGGAUGCGAGGUGCCCAUCGCGUGAUUACUCUCGGGUAGGUCGCCAGAGCCCGCUGGUAACAACGGGCCCAGAGAAAUUGCCAUCAAAUACAAAACCCGGCUUAUCUGCCUGCUUUUAAG
RNAcentral lists this RNase P RNA (390 nucleotides) under Candidatus Omnitrophota bacterium. Its description in RNAcentral is "RNase P RNA component class A". It matches the Rfam family "Bacterial RNase P class A". From Rfam's summary of the family: Ribonuclease P (RNase P) is a ubiquitous endoribonuclease, found in archaea, bacteria and eukarya as well as chloroplasts and mitochondria. Its best characterised activity is the generation of mature 5'-ends of tRNAs by cleaving the 5'-leader elements of precursor-tRNAs. Cellular RNase Ps are ribonucleoproteins. The record is from RNAcentral. Lineage: Bacteria; Pseudomonadati; Candidatus Omnitrophota.